UACUUCGGGUCCUCCUUGUAGUAACUUGGAGCUGCUGUAGUUGUGGUGUAGUAAUACUCGGGAGCCUUGGUGGUGUACUUAGGUGGAUCAGCAGUGGUGUAGUAUUUUG
This is a long non-coding RNA of Daphnia pulicaria, 109 nucleotides long. RefSeq lists it as uncharacterized. The transcript is spliced from 4 exons. The record is from RefSeq and is a predicted model, not a curated record. NCBI's taxonomy places the organism in Eukaryota, Metazoa, Arthropoda, Branchiopoda, Diplostraca, Daphniidae.